UACGUAGGUGGCAAGCGUUAUCCGGAUUUAUUGGGCGUAAAGGGAACGCAGGCGGUCUUUUAAGUCUGAUGUGAAAGCCUUCGGCUUAACCGGAGUAGUGCAUUGGAAACUGGGAGACUUGAGUGCAGAAGAGGAGAGUGGAACUCCAUGUGUAGCGGUGAAAUGCGUAGAUAUAUGGAAGAACACCAGUGGCGGAAGCGGCUCUCUGGUCCGUAACUGACGCUGAGGUUCGAAAGCGUGGGUAGCAAACAGG
This 253-nucleotide ribosomal RNA is filed under the name uncultured bacterium. RNAcentral describes it as "partial 16S ribosomal RNA". It matches the Rfam family "Bacterial small subunit ribosomal RNA", at positions 524 to 776 of the family's 1533-position model. The record is from RNAcentral.